GCCAACCUGUUCUGGUCUGCUUACACGCUGUGGAAGCUUUGUUCUUUCGCUUUUUGCAAUAAAUCUUGCUACUGCUCACGCUUUGGGUCCACACUGCCUUUAUGAGCUGUAACACUCACCCCGAAGGUCUGCAGCUUCACUCUUGAAGCCAGCGAGACCACGAGCCCACCGGGAGGAAGGACAACUCCAGACGCGCUGCCUUAAGAGCCGUAACACUCACCGCGAAGGUCCGCAGCUUCACUCCUGAGCCAGCGAGACCACGAACCCACCAGAAGGAAGAAACUCCGAACGCAUCUGAAUAUCAGAAGGAACAAACUCCAGACACGCCGCCUUUAAGAACUGUAACACUCACCGUGACGGUCCACGGCUUCAUUCUUGAAGUCAGUGAGACCAAGAACCCACCAAUUCCAGAUACAGGAUUACAAGUGUGAGCCACCGUGCCCGGCCUCUAUUUAUUUUUUAUAAUUUUUGAGACAGAGUCUUACUUUGUUGUCCAGGUUGGAGUGCAAUGACGCAGUCCUGGCUCACUGCAACUUCUGCCUCCCGGAUUCAAGUGAUUCUCCUGCCUCAGCCUCCUGAGUAGCUGGGAUUACAGGCACCCGCCACCACGCCCAGCUCAUUUUUGUAUUUUUAGUAGGGACAGGGUUUCACCAUGUUGGUCAAGCUGGUCUCAAAUGCCUGACCUCAAGCAAUCCACCCGCCUUGGCCUCCCAAAAUGCUGGGAUUACAGGCGCGAGCCACUGUGCCCAGCCCCAAAGCUUAUUUUUAUUUGUUCACAUGAAUGCAGUUUUCUUGGUUAUUAUUUCUGAAUCUUCUUGUAAAUUUUUGAAUACUACCUAAAAUUAUGAGGAAGGAAGCAAAAAUCUGAGUUCACUUCCCCAGAUUCUUUUUUUAAAGAACAAAAUCUCUUUUCUCUCUGAAGCUAUUACUGGUGUUUUUGAACACUGUGUGUUCUGAAACUCUUGCUCAGUGCAAGUUACACAACUGUAGCAAAUAGACCCCAAACGUAGCUGCCCAUGCCAGCCCGCGGCUUAUUUAUCCCUGACCUGCCCAAGCAAGUGCUCCUGCGGGGUGGGGCCUGGUUGGGCCCCAGGCUGAAGGCUGCCCUGUCAUCUUGCACAUUUGUCUUCCACAGUCUCUCUGAUGUGCCCAUUUCAGCCAUCAGAAGGGGGAACCCUAAAAGCCUCCUGGAAGGGUGACCUGCUCCUGAAACUGGUGCACACUGCUUCUGCCAGAUUCUGUUGGACACCACGGUUACCCAGCCACACCUACUGCGAGGGAGCCUGGGAAUGCAGACCAGCCAGGGGCCCCAUGAGAAGGGGUAACGGCUUCUGUUGGACAGCCGGACGGCAGCCAGCCAGCCCUUGGCCUCCAGACAUCUGUGAGACCCACCCUUCCUCCACACAUCGUGUUAGAAAAAGUCACCAUCAUCUCCAGGGAGAAGACCCAGCCCAAAGCCUGCCUCUCUAGGAUGGGCAGAGCCUUUCCGUGGGUCCCGAUGACUGUCUUCCGGGUCCAACUGACAGAUGAUUCAUUAAGCCAUCUGCUCCCCUCCCCCCGCAACCUGAGCCUUCAUCUGAUCUUUGCCGUAGGCCUGCACACUUUUGUUGGACUGAGCUGCCUGAGUGACAGGCCUUGAACAGCCACCAUCUUUUCUCCUACUGUUUGAGGCAUAAACAGUGGCUUUUUCAACCUGGGAGUCCCAACUUUCUGGGGUAACUCUAAUUGCAAACCGGCCCUCAAUUUCUGGAAACAGUAGUCAAGCUACAGGGAAUGAGUGCCUCGCGCUAACCUUCUGGCUCUUUCCUCCCUCUUCCCAGCGUUCCCAAGCCUUUACCUCGGCACACCAGGGGACGUGUGGCAUCAUCUUCAAUUCACCACAUCCGUUUCCCUGUAUCCCCAAGUGCCAGGGCAGGUGUAUCAGUCGGCUUUUGCCACAACAGUGCUGCAUAACGACGACCUUAAAGCUUGGUGGCCGAGUCUCACGCUCACAGGGCUAGGGCCGACCUCCACCUGGCCAAGCCCCUGGCCUCCGGGUUCUGGGAUGUGGGCUGGGCUGAGGUCCGCCCAGGUUUCUCGCUUCUUGGAGCCCCCGUCAGUUAUCUGCGUUCUCCAUUCUUCUCUGGGGCACAGCCUGCUUGUAGUGGGUCCCUGGCAAGCAGGAAGACCAGGCUGCCCUUGCUGGCACAUUCCAAACCUUUGCCCAUUUCAAAUCUGCUACCUUCCCACUAGCCAGAGCACGUCACUCGCCAAGCCCAAAGUCAAGGGAGGAGAGCCCACCCACCACCUAGAGACCACAGCAAGCAGACGGAUGUAAAAUUCUGCUACGGGGGAGUGAAAAACCAAUGAUUAAAUUGCUAAUUGAAUUGUAAGUUAAACUGCUCUGAGGCAUAGACGCUGGUGUAAAUGCCUAAACAAAAGAGAAGUGGAUUUCUCUCUUGACAACCAUGGCAGGGUUUCCGUUUGACAAUGGCCUUGAUUCUUGCAGUCACUCAGAGCCCUAGGCUGAGGGUGACUCUGCUGUCCUCAAGCGAAGCUUCCUGUGUCACCCUGGUUGUUGCCAGGCCCUGGGAAAGGAAAAGUUAAUGGAGGGCCUUUUGGGCCAGUCACAGGAGAGGCACACGUCACUGCUGUCACCUCCACUGCAGGUGGCCACCUGGCCACACCCCUUGCCAGGGAACCUGGCAGAUUCAGUCUAGCCCAGGCCAAGGAGGAGGGGCACCCAAUCUCGCUGUACAGCGCCGGCUCUGCGCUAGUUAGUUCGCUCGUGUUAGUUCUUCAGUUUGUGGUGCGUCCUUGGGGUUGGUGAUCCCAGCUUUGUGUGGGAUCCCUGCUUGUCCAUCAGCAGCACGUGGUCAGACACCUCAACUGUGGCUGACGGCUCAGAGCCCACGACUCCCCGCUCCCUCCAGGUGUUAUUCCACAAUGGGAUCUCUUCUCUGUCCACUGCCUGUGCUGAGUGUACUCAGCCAAGGGUGAGGCUGCCCUCCCACAGACACCCCAGCCAUCCCCCUCCCACUGUCCCAGGGCCCCUUGGCUCCUCUGGGAGCUGCCAUCACCUGCCAGCAGGUUUCACUUCUGGGCACCAAGGCUGUCAUUUCUUCCCUCCAGCGAGAGCAACGUCCCCACCCCCAUCUCCCCAGGACUCCUCCAGAUUUCUGGGCCACGGAGGGCACCCAUCUUGUCCCUGCUGGUUGUAAUGGACUUACAGUUUUUUUUUCUUUGUUUUUUUGGAGAUGGAGUUUCACUCUCGUUGUUGCCCAGGCUGGAGUGCAAUGGCGCAAUCUCGGCUCACCACAGCCUCUACCUCCUGGGUUCAAGCGAUUCUCCUGCCUCAGCCUCCUGAAUAGUUGGGACUACAGGCAUUCGCCACCAAGGCUGGCUAAUU
RNAcentral lists this long non-coding RNA (3388 nucleotides) under Homo sapiens (human). Its description in RNAcentral is "HSALNT0392126". The record is from RNAcentral. Lineage: Eukaryota; Metazoa; Chordata; Mammalia; Primates; Hominidae.